GUCUACGGCUAUACCACCCUGAACGUGCCCGAUCUCGUCUAAUCUCCGAAGCUAAGCAGGGUCGGGCCUGGUUAGUACUUGGAUGGGAGCCUUAUCUA
RNAcentral lists this ribosomal RNA (98 nucleotides) under Piliocolobus tephrosceles (Ugandan red Colobus). The record is from RNAcentral. Lineage: Eukaryota; Metazoa; Chordata; Mammalia; Primates; Cercopithecidae.